This 301-nucleotide ribosomal RNA is filed under the name uncultured bacterium. Its description in RNAcentral is "partial 16S ribosomal RNA". It matches the Rfam family "Bacterial small subunit ribosomal RNA", at positions 509 to 807 of the family's 1533-position model. The record is from RNAcentral.
CAGUAGCCACGGGAAUACGAAGGGGGCUAGCGUUGCUCGGAAUUACUGGGCGUAAAGGGAGCGUAGGCGGACAUUUAAGUCAGGGGUGAAAUCCCAGAGCUCAACUCUGGAACUGCCUUUGAUACUGGGUGUCUUGAGUGUGAUAGAGGUAUGUGGAACUCCGAGUGUAGAGGUGAAAUUCGUAGAUAUUCGGAAGAACACCAGUGGCGAAGGCGACAUACUGGAUCAUUACUGACGCUGAGGCUCGAAAGCGUGGGGAGCAAACAGGAUUAGAUACCCCCGUAGUCCCUGUCUCUUAUAC